GAAAAAACUUUCAAUAAAAAAAUAUAAAAAUUCAAAAAAUUUUCUUCCAUCGAAUUUUUUUAUUUAAUUUUUUUAUUAUUUCAUUUGUUUUUUUUUUUUAGCAGCUACUUGGUGGAGAAUGACGACAAAAGAUGUUUUUUUAAAAAAAAUAUAGAAAAAAUAGAAAAAAAAACAAAAACAACAACAAAAUAGGAAAAAAAUAAAAGAAAAAAAAUUGAAAAUGUGAAUUUUUCUCAAAUAUAGAGAAAAGGUUAAAAAAAUUUAUUCCAAAAGAACAAAAGAAAAAAAUAACAAGAAAAUUUUUAUUAAUCAAAAAAAAAAAGGGAAAACAAAAGAAAAAAAAAAGUUGACUAAAUUUUUGGGUUUUUUCCGCUUUUUCCGUUUUUGCUGUACAGUUGAUUUUUUCCUAUUUGUUUUUUUAUUAUUCCUUACAAAUUCAGAAUAGAAACUAUUCGAGCAUGAAAAAUUUUUUUGAAAAAAAAAAGGAGAGAUAAGAGAAACGAAAACAAUACAAAAACAAUAAAAAAAAAACUAUAAAGAAAAAAAAAGAGAAGAAAACAAAUUUUCACGUAUCCCAGGUUUCAGCAACUUUAUUUAUUUUAUUUUUAUUUUUUUGAUUAUUUUAAUAUUUUCCACAUUUUUGUUUUUUAAUAAUACCGAGACUAAUACCAUAAAAUCUAUUCAAUUAUGGUUUUAAUGGAUUUUUGAAGAAAAAAAAAACAAAACAAAAUGAAAAAUCGAAAAUUGAAAAUUCUCAUGCUAUAAAAUAAAAAAACACAGAGAGAAA
This is a long non-coding RNA of Condylostylus longicornis, 787 nucleotides long. RefSeq lists it as uncharacterized. The record is from RefSeq and is a predicted model, not a curated record. The transcript is spliced from 3 exons. NCBI's taxonomy places the organism in Eukaryota, Metazoa, Arthropoda, Insecta, Diptera, Dolichopodidae.